CGGGGUGUGGCGCAGCCUGGUAGCGCGCCUGCUUUGGGAGCAGGAUGUCGGAGGUUCAAAUCCUCUCGCCCCGACCA
This 77-nucleotide transfer RNA is filed under the name Burkholderiales bacterium. Its description in RNAcentral is "tRNA-Pro". It matches the Rfam family "tRNA". Rfam says of the family: Transfer RNA (tRNA) molecules are approximately 80 nucleotides in length. Their secondary structure includes four short double-helical elements and three loops (D, anti-codon, and T loops). RNAcentral also lists the same sequence under 3 other names. Lineage: Bacteria; Pseudomonadati; Pseudomonadota; Betaproteobacteria; Burkholderiales. The record is from RNAcentral.